Molecule: transfer RNA, 64 nt
Filed under: Teredo sp. TBF02
Lineage: Eukaryota; Metazoa; Mollusca; Bivalvia; Myida; Teredinidae
Also listed under: 2 other names
Description: tRNA-Phe
Source: RNAcentral
GUUUAGGUAGUUUAAUGUAGAACAUGGCGCUGAAGUUGCCAAAGUGACUUUUUGUCCCCGAACA